Molecule: long non-coding RNA, 227 nt
Organism: Saccostrea echinata
Lineage: Eukaryota; Metazoa; Mollusca; Bivalvia; Ostreida; Ostreidae
Exons: 3
Source: RefSeq, a predicted model, not a curated record
AAAUUUAAACGUAUCAUUUAUUUACAUUUUUUUCUUUUUAGUACCAAGUAACAGUGAUUUGUGUGUACUGAACUAUCAACAUAUUAAACUGCAGACCCAUACCAAGACUGUUGAUAGAUAUGUAGAUUGACGCAUGCUGACUGGGGACUAUGGGUAUGGAAAACCAUUUUGCAGUAAUUAGGAAUGUGCAGCUGAAGAUGGUCAAAGAUCAAAGGCCAAGACUGAUG